CACUCCUGCGGGAGGCAGCAGUGGGGAAUAUUGGACAAUGGGCGCAAGCCUGAUCCAGCCAUGCCGCGUGAGUGAUGAAGGCCCUAGGGUUGUAAAGCUCUUUCACCGGAGAAGAUAAUGACGGUAUCCGGAGAAGAAGCCCCGGCUAACUUCGUGCCAGCAGCCGCGGUAAUACGAAGGGGGCUAGCGUUGUUCGGAAUUACUGGGCGUAAAGCGCACGUAGGCGGAUCGAUCAGUCAGGGGUGAAAUCCCAGAGCUCAACCCUGGAACUGCCUUUGAUACUGUCGAUCUGGAGUAUGGAAGAGGUGAGUGGAAUUCCGAGUGUAGAGGUGAAAUUCGUAGAUAUUCGGAGGAACACCAGUGGCGAAGGCGGCUCACUGGUCCAUUACUGACGCUGAGGUGCGAAAGCGUGGGGAGCAAACAGGAUUAGAAACCCCUGUAGUCCCAUG
Molecule: ribosomal RNA, 449 nt
Filed under: uncultured organism
Description: partial 16S ribosomal RNA
Rfam family: Bacterial small subunit ribosomal RNA
Source: RNAcentral